GCAGACACAUUCCAGCCAAUCAGCAGCAGACCCUCCCUCCCAGACCCUCCCACAGCAUCCAUUUUACAUUCAUUGUGAAGCUGCAUUCUUAGUGAGCUGUCCAGGAGGUGGGAGGGUCUGGGAGGGAGGGUCUGCUGCUGAUUGGCUGGAAUGUGUCUG
Molecule: non-coding RNA, 159 nt
Organism: Pelobates cultripes (western spadefoot toad)
Lineage: Eukaryota; Metazoa; Chordata; Amphibia; Anura; Pelobatidae
Source: the annotation of a GenBank genome assembly